ACAAUUAUAAGAAAAUACAUCUCCGUCAUGUUUGUGUUAUAUAUAUCAAAAUAAAGACAUACAAAUUCUAUUUGCAUCCAUCCUUAAAGUAAAGAAUUUUACCUCGUGACGACAUCAUCUCCUAUGUGAAUUCUCUAUCCGGCUUAGCCUUAAGUGACCCUAUGGUGGUCCCAAGGCGUAAUUCUUGAGCCAACGUCAAUACCGACAUCACACUAUCGUUUGUCGUUCCAAUGUAAUGACUCGAAUACCUCGAGAGAUAUUUUUAUUCCCUUCAAGAGCGUGAAUCAAUUCGGUCCACCAUAAGCGAGAGUACCUGAAAUCACCCUUACCCUUGUAAUACUCUUACGAAAGAACCCUGUGGUUUCCUCAAAAAAUGGAACCCAUUCAUGAAGAGGGAGGAAUGGUGGAGAU
Molecule: long non-coding RNA, 411 nt
Filed under: Lupinus angustifolius (narrow-leaved blue lupine)
Lineage: Eukaryota; Viridiplantae; Streptophyta; Magnoliopsida; Fabales; Fabaceae
Description: long non-coding RNA (LANG_LNC003706)
Source: RNAcentral